AAGACUUUUAAUAUCAAGCCGAAGGUAGUGGGUGGCCGCGAAGCGGAGUGCGGAGGCGCCAUGGUGGGCAAGAUGCCCAACGUCACCUGGCUCGAGGGCGCCUUCAUGGAAACCAUCAAAGGGUGGCAAUCGUGGUGGUUCUACGUCACCGAGCCGCGUGACCCUGAAUGGGCAGCGGCCCCCGAAUUCAGAUCUGGCAUCCCCACACGGCUCACCUCCUGGAAAGAGAAGGGCCUGUCAUGGGGCGAUUCGGAGGAGCUGACCGGACUCCAAUCCUGUCACCAAACCCUGGUGAACAAGAAGCUCAAGCUUGUCAACGUAGUCCAGGUCAUG
Molecule: ribosomal RNA, 333 nt
Filed under: Triticum aestivum (bread wheat)
Lineage: Eukaryota; Viridiplantae; Streptophyta; Magnoliopsida; Poales; Poaceae
Description: partial small subunit ribosomal RNA
Source: RNAcentral